Molecule: ribosomal RNA, 560 nt
Filed under: Babesia sp.
Lineage: Eukaryota; Apicomplexa; Aconoidasida; Piroplasmida; Babesiidae
Description: SSU rRNA
Rfam family: Eukaryotic small subunit ribosomal RNA
Source: RNAcentral
GUCUUGUAAUUGGAAUGAUGGUGACCUAAACCCUCACCAGAGUAACAAUUGGAGGGCAAGUCUGGUGCCAGCAGCCGCGGUAAUUCCAGCUCCAAUAGCGUAUAUUAAACUUGUUGCAGUUAAAAAGCUCGUAGUUGAAUUUUUGCGUGGUGUUAAUAUUGACUGAUGUCGAGAUUGCACUUCGCUUUUGGGAUUUAUCCCUCUUUACUUUGAGAAAAUUAGAGUGUUUCAAGCAGACUUUUGUCUUGAAUACUUCAGCAUGGAAUAAUAGAGUAGGACUUUGGUUCUAUUUUGUUGGUUUGUGAACCUUAGUAAUGGUUAAUAGGAACGGUUGGGGGCAUUCGUAUUUAACUGUCAGAGGUGAAAUUCUUAGAUUUGUUAAAGACGAACUACUGCGAAAGCAUUUGCCAAGGACGUUUUCAUUAAUCAAGAACGAAAGUUAGGGGAUCGAAGACGAUCAGAUACCGUCGUAGUCCUAACCAUAAACUAUGCCGACUAGGGAUUGGAGGUCGUCAUUUUUCCGACUCCUUCAGCACCUUGAGAGAAAUCAAAGUCUUUGG